UACAGAGGGUGCGAGCGUUAAUCGGAAUUACUGGGCGUAAAGCGUGCGUAGACGGUAGCGUAAGUCAGAUGUGAAAGCCCCGGGCUCAACCUGGGAACUGCAUUUGAGACUGCUCUGCUCGGGUGCGGAAGAGGGAAGCGGAAUUUCCGGUGUAGCGGUGAAAUGCGUAGAUAUCGGAAGGAACACCGAUGGCGAAAGCAGCGUGCUGGACCUUUUCUGACGCUGAGGCGCGAAAGCCAGGGGAGCAAACGGG
RNAcentral lists this ribosomal RNA (253 nucleotides) under uncultured bacterium. Its description in RNAcentral is "partial 16S ribosomal RNA". It matches the Rfam family "Bacterial small subunit ribosomal RNA", at positions 524 to 776 of the family's 1533-position model. The record is from RNAcentral.